GAGAGGACCGGAGUGGACGCAUCACUGGUGUUCGGGUUGUCAUGCCAAUGGCAUUGCCCGGUAGCUAAAUGCGGAAGAGAUAGUGCUGAAAGCAUCUAAGCACGAAACUUGCCCCGAGAUGAGUUCUCCCUGACCCUUUAAGGGUCCUGAAGGAACGUUGAAGACGACGACGUUGAUAGGCCGGGUGUGUAAGCGCAGCGAUGCGUUGAGCUAACCGGUACUAAUGAACCGUGAGGCUUAACCUUACAACGCCGAAG
This 257-nucleotide ribosomal RNA is filed under the name Citrobacter amalonaticus. Its description in RNAcentral is "partial 23S ribosomal RNA". It matches the Rfam family "Bacterial large subunit ribosomal RNA", at positions 2685 to 2925 of the family's 2925-position model. The record is from RNAcentral. Lineage: Bacteria; Pseudomonadati; Pseudomonadota; Gammaproteobacteria; Enterobacterales; Enterobacteriaceae.